RNAcentral lists this ribosomal RNA (468 nucleotides) under uncultured bacterium. RNAcentral describes it as "partial 16S ribosomal RNA". It matches the Rfam family "Bacterial small subunit ribosomal RNA", at positions 28 to 507 of the family's 1533-position model. The record is from RNAcentral.
GACGAACGCUGGCGGCGUGCUUAACACAUGCAAGUCGAACGGAAAGGCCCUGCUUUUGUGGGGUGCUCGAGUGGCGAACGGGUGAGUAACACGUGAGUAACCUGCCCUUGACUUUGGGAUAACUUCAGGAAACUGGGGCUAAUACCGGAUAGGAGCUCCUGCUGCAUGGGGGGGGUGGGAAAGUUUCGGCGGUUGGGGAUGGACUCGCGGCUUAUCAGCUUGUUGGUGGGGUAGUGGCUUACCAAGGCUUUGACGGGUAGCCGGCCUGAGAGGGUGACCGGCCACAUUGGGACUGGGAUACGGCCCAGACUCCUACGGGAGGCAGCAGUGGGGAUUAUUGCACACUGGGCGGAAGCCUGAUGCAGCAACGCCGCGUGCUGGAUGACGGCCUUCGGGUUGUAAACCGCUUUCGCCUGUGACGAAGCGUGAGUGACGGUAAUGGGUAAAGAAGCACCGGCUAACUACGUG